CCAUAAAAGACCUAAAAUUACUAGUGGCCUUAGGUUUCUAAAAAUAGCAAAAAAAGUAAACGGUCAUGAUACAUAUUCAAAUUCAUUUCUGAAUAGUAAAAUGAAAGUACUUCAGUUAAGUGUGAAUGUAGAUUUUUUUGCAGUGUUAGAAAGUGGUGAAAAUUCUAAAAAGGCUAUCAUUAUCCCAAUGGGCCAGGAAAUACUACCGUGCCACCUUUACGAUCACCUUUGUGAAACACUCGUAGCUAAAAUCUUCCGCUUAGCGAAAGUUGAAUCGUAAACGUAAAUCGUUCGAUUUUUUUGUGAAACGAUAGCCAGAGUACAGAAAUUAUAAUAGCACAAUGACGGGAUUUUUAAGUACAGAGGCCGUCAUAUGUAACAAAGAAUCAUAAAAGGGCAUAUAGACCGAGC
This 411-nucleotide long non-coding RNA is filed under the name Mytilus galloprovincialis (Mediterranean mussel). Lineage: Eukaryota; Metazoa; Mollusca; Bivalvia; Mytilida; Mytilidae. The record is from RNAcentral.